This 446-nucleotide ribosomal RNA is filed under the name uncultured bacterium. Its description in RNAcentral is "partial 16S ribosomal RNA". It matches the Rfam family "Bacterial small subunit ribosomal RNA", at positions 338 to 795 of the family's 1533-position model. The record is from RNAcentral.
CCUACGGGUGACAGCAGUAGGGAAUUUUCGGCAAUGGGGGGAACCCUGACCGAGCAACGCCGCGUGAACGAAGAAGUUAUUCGUAAUGUAAAGUUCUUUUAACAGGGAAGAAAGAGAAAUUUGACGGUACCUGAAGAAUAAGCUCCGGCUAACUACGUGCCAGCAGCCGCGGUAAUACGUAGGGAGCGAGCGUUAUCCGGAUUUAUUGGGUUUAAAGGGUGCGUAGGCGGGUUAUCAAGUCAGCGGUAAAAUCGUGGAGCUCAACUCCAUCCAGCCGUUGAAACUGAUGAUCUUGAGUGGGCGAGAAGUAUGCGGAAUGCGUGGUGUAGCGGUGAAAUGCAUAGAUAUCACGCAGAACUCCGAUUGCGAAGGCAGCAUACCGGCGCCCGACUGACGCUGAAGCACGAAAGCGUGGGUAUCGAACAGGAUUAGAUACCCUUGUAGUC